Molecule: non-coding RNA, 2399 nt
Organism: Delphinapterus leucas (beluga whale)
Lineage: Eukaryota; Metazoa; Chordata; Mammalia; Artiodactyla; Monodontidae
Source: RefSeq, a predicted model, not a curated record
GGCCACAGCAGUGAGAGGCCCGCGUACUGCAAAACAAAAUAAAAUAAAAAAGAAACCAGAAUUGCUCAUAGCAGUCUACGGUUGAAUAGAAGUAGCAUAAAUAAUUUCUUAGAUCCUCCCACUGAAACACUGGAACCCAAAGCCACGUGCACUAGGAUUUCCCGCUGUGCACUCAGACAAGCUCUGAAGGAUGGGACAGCACCCAGGAGGGAGGCACCUGUCCUCUGAAGAGACGGGCUCCUGGCAUCACCGCCGCUUUGGUCUCCCAUGGCCAUGUGUACGGUCAAGAGGGAGCGGCCCUGCGUGCAAAGUGCUGGGGCUGCCUGGCACGGCAGGCCCUAGAGCCAGGAGGCCACAGGAGAGAAGAGACCCUGAGCAGGUGCUCGGUCAGCGGAAGUGGAAUGAAUGGGCUGCUUCUCGCGAAGGCUGGUAAGAGCCUCCCCACCUGACAACUUGCCGAGGCCCCCUGUCCACUCCCAACCCCCAGCCUUUCCCAGGGGAAGCGCUUCCAGCUGGAGCACCCAGGAGCCGCAGGAGACCAGCAAAACACAGAUGCGCUGGCAGCAGUGUCCUCGCGAGCACGGAGCUUCCCGCCUCACAGGGACGGCUGCUACACGAAGAAGGGGCUCGAGGGCACCGAGUCAGCCCCGGAAGCACUUAUGGAGGAUGUGCCAGUCAGAGCUGGGGUUAGGGUCAGGCAGCACUCGGGUUCCGCCCUGCCUUUGGCCACCAGCCUCCACGACGGAGGUCCAGCCCCACUGUGCCCGCUUCCUGGUGUCCGUGCCCACGUACAGUCCCAUCCCAGCUGAAGAGGGCUGACCUGGGCAGGAAUGUGAGUGACUCUGGGCAAGGUCGUGACCAGCACCGAGCUUCCUCCUGCCUCUCGGAUAGCUCACCCCGGGGGUAGCCACGUUGUGAGGGCACUCAGGCAGCCCCGGGGAGAGGCCACAUGGGAGGAGCUGAGGCCUCCUGCCCACAGCCAGGGGAGGAGCCUCCUUGGAGGCGGGUGGAGCCUUCAGGUGAGACGGGAGCCCUGCCGACACUCCAGCUGCAGCCUCACUUGAGUCCGAGCCAGGGCCGCCAGGCCGAGCCACGUCUGGGUUCGGGACCCACAGAAACUGACAUCGUAAGUGUGUUGUUGUAGCUGCUAAGUUUGGAGUGAUUUGAACAUAGAAACAGAGAGCCAAUACCCUGCUUCUGCUAGCUAUAGUUGUGUGAUAGGCAAAUUAAUCUCUCUGAGUGUCAGCUUCUCACCCGAGAAUAAGAAUGCCUACCUCCAAUGGAUGUUAUAAAAAUUAAAUAAGCUCUUGGCAUUGGGCCUGGGAUACAGCAAAUGCUGAAAAACUAGCUGUCAUCAUUAUUAUGAAAUAUUUACAUAAAUAUAUCACAAGAUGCGAAGGGCUCAGGAAGACCUCACUUCAAACAGGUGGGUUCAAGGAAGGCUUUGUGGAAAAGUAAUGUUUGGCUUGGUCCUUGAAGGAGAAGCAGGAUCUGGACCCGAGGAGAUGGCGGGAAGGGCAGGAGGGUCCCUGUGGGCAGUUCACGCUCAGCGUAAACUCGGGCAACAGGAGGUGAGACUGUGAAGGCUGGCUGGGGUCAGAUUGGGCUGCUGGCAUUAAGGGGUCUGGAAUUUACAUGCUGGGAAGUGAAGCCACCGGUUCUGAGUCAGUGGAAGUGGAAUGAAUGGGACGGCUUCUCCCGAAGGCAGAUAAGAGCACGGUGGCCUCCCCACCUGACAACUUGCCCUGAGGCCCCCUGUCCACAGGAGCGAGAACCCCAGGCACGGCUCCCCAGCACACAAUAGCCCUUCGGAAGAGGUGUUGAAUGAAUUAAAUUCUUCCCGACCCCCAAAGCAUCCCCUCUUGGAUUCUGGCAGGAGCAAAUAUUAAAGAGGGUGCCUGGGGCUGGAAGGAACGGUUGUCAGGCUGCUGCUGCAACUGAUCCUUUUUCUCCCAAACCCAGGAUCCAGCUCUGUCUCUGCUGUUUGACAAACGUUUCCACUCGACCUCCCUUCUUCCCUCUGAACCCUGAGUUUGUUCAUGUUCCCAAUUUCCCCGCGAGCCAUGUGGGGAAGAGAGGUGGGUCCCAGACCUCCAGCCCCAGAGGGCAGAUCACGAUUGGCCUAAACCAGCCACAGGGGUCUCAUCCCCUUGCCAGAGAUUCUGGCCCAAGGACGUGAGGGCAAGUCUGGGCAGGUUCUCCUCGCGAAGGAAACAAGAUGCGUUGGAAGCAGCAGCCCCUCUUUUUUCAUGGUGGACGCUGUGUGUGUGUGUGAUGUCUGGAAUUGCCACGGCCAUCUUGUACCAUGAGGAGUGCCGUCCUGAGAGUGAGCCAGUGGGAUGCCAGGCAGACAGAGCCUGAGUCCAGGGUGAUAUCCAGAGCCACUGCGCUUACAUGUG